AACGAACGCUGGCGGCAUGCCUAACACAUGCAAGUCGAGCGAACCCUUCGGGUCUAUCGGCGGACGGGUGAGUAACCCGUGGGAACGUUCCCUUCUCUAUGGAAUAUCUCCGGGAAACUGGUAAUAAUACGGUAUACGCCCUAUUGGGGAAAGAUUUAUUGGAGAAGGAUGGUCCCUAGUUGGAUUAGGUUUUUGUGUGGGUAAUGGCUCACGAAGCCGCCGAUGCAUAGAUGGUUAGAGAGGAUGCUCAGCCACACUGAGAGUGAGACACGGCCCAGACUCCUACGGGAGGCAGCAGUGGCGAAUCGUAGAACAUGGCGGCAAUGAUGAUGGAGCCAUGACGGGAGAGCGCUGAAGGUCUUAGGGUUGUAAAGCUCUUUCAGCUGGGAAGAUAAUGACGGUACCAGCAGAAGAAGCCACGGCUAACUACGUG
This 433-nucleotide ribosomal RNA is filed under the name uncultured bacterium. RNAcentral's name for it is "partial 16S ribosomal RNA". It matches the Rfam family "Bacterial small subunit ribosomal RNA", at positions 29 to 507 of the family's 1533-position model. The record is from RNAcentral.